RNAcentral lists this ribosomal RNA (1234 nucleotides) under metagenome. RNAcentral describes it as "bacterial LSU rRNA". It matches the Rfam family "Bacterial large subunit ribosomal RNA", at positions 1564 to 2808 of the family's 2925-position model. The record is from RNAcentral.
UGAAUACGAGGCACUAAGGUGCUGAAGUAGUGUAUGUCAUACUUCCAAGAAAAGCUUGCACUAUCGUAAGAUAAAAAUGCCUGUACCAUAACCGACACAGGUGGGUAGGUAGAGUAUACUAAGGGGCGCGAGAUAACUCUCUCUAAGGAACUCGGCAAAAUAACUCCGUAACUUCGGGAGAAGGAGUGCCUUAUUCUAUAAGGUUGCAAUAACAAGAUCCAAGCAACUGUUUAUCAAAAACACAGGUCUCCGCUAAGUCGUAAGACGAUGUAUGGGGGCUGACGCCUGCCCAGUGCCAGAAGGUUAAAGAAGUCGGUUAGCAAUUGCGAAGCUGGUAACUGAAGCCCUGGUGAACGGCGGCCGUAACGAUAACGGUCCUAAGGUAGCGAAAUUCCUUGUCGGGUAAGUUCCGACCCGCACGAAAGGCGUAAUGAUUUGGAUACUGUCUCGGAGAGGGACUCGGUGAAAUAGACUUGUCUGUGAAGAUGCGGACUACCUGCACCAGGACAGAAAGACCCUAUGAAGCUUUACUGUAACUUGAAAUUGAAAUUGGACUUUAUUCGCGCAGUAUAGGUGGGAGGCGUUGAUUAUAAUCUUGUGGGAUUAUUGGAGCCAUUAGUGAGAUACCACUCUUGUAAUGUUAGAUUUCUAACUUUGAAUCAUGAUCUGGUCAAAGAACAGUUUCAGGCGGGCAGUUUGACUGGGGCGGUCGCCUCCUAAAUGGUAACGGAGGCGUACAAAGGUUUCCUCUGAACGGGUAGAAAUCGUAUCUAGAGUGUAAAGGCAUAAGGAAGCUUGACUGUGAGACCUACAAGUCGAGCAGGGACGAAAGUCGGUCUUAGUGAUCUGACGGUACUGAGUGGAAAGGCCGUCACUCAACGGAUAAAAGUUACUCUAGGAUAACAGGCUGAUCUCCCCCAAGAGUUCACAUCGACGGGGAGGUUUGGCACCUCGAUGUCGGCUCAUCGCAUCCUGGGGCGGUAGUACGUCCCAAGGGUUGGGCUGUUCGCCCAUGAAAGCGGUACGCGAGCCGGGUUCAGAACGUCGUGAGACAGUUCGGUCCAUAUCCGGUGUAGGCGUUAGAAUAUUGAGAGGAGCCUUCUUUAGUACGAGAGGACCGAGAAGGACAUACCUCUGGUGUACCAGUUAUCGUGCCAACGGUAACGCUGGGUAGCUAUGUAUGGAGUGGAUAACCGCUGAAAGCAUCUAAGUGGGAAGCCCACCUCAAGAUAAG